GAUGAACGCUGGCGGCGUGCCUAAUACAUGCAAGUCGAGCGAACGGACGAGAAGCUUGCUUCUCUGAUGUUAGCGGCGGACGGGUGAGUAACACGUGGAUAACCUACCUAUAAGACUGGGAUAACUUCGGGAAACCGGAGCUAAUACCGGAUAAUAUUUUGAACCGCAUGGUUCAAAAGUGAAAGACGGUCUUGCUGUCACUUAUAGAUGGAUCCGCGCUGCAUUAGCUAGUUGGUAAGGUAACGGCUUACCAAGGCAACGAUGCAUAGCCGACCUGAGAGGGUGAUCGGCCACACUGGAACUGAGACACGGUCCAGACUCCUACGGGAGGCAGCAGUAGGGAAUCUUCCGCAAUGGGCGAAAGCCUGACGGAGCAACGCCGCGUGAGUGAUGAAGGUCUUCGGAUCGUAAAACUCUGUUAUUAGGGAAGAACAUAUGUGUAAGUAACUGUGCACAUCUUGACGGUACCUAAUCAGAAAGCCACGGCUAACUACGUGCCAGCAGCCGCGGUAAUACGUAGGUGGCAAGCGUUAUCCGGAAUUAUUGGGCGUAAAGCGCGCGUAGGCGGUUUUUUAAGUCUGAUGUGAAAGCCCACGGCUCAACCGUGGAGGGUCAUUGGAAACUGGAAAACUUGAGUGCAGAAGAGGAAAGUGGAAUUCCAUGUGUAGCGGUGAAAUGCGCAGAGAUAUGGAGGAACACCAGUGGCGAAGGCGACUUUCUGGUCUGUAACUGACGCUGAUGUGCGAAAGCGUGGGGAUCAAACAGGAUUAGAUACCCUGGUAGUCCACGCCGUAAACGAUGAGUGCUAAGUGUUAGGGGGUUUCCGCCCCUUAGUGCUGCAGCUAACGCAUUAAGCACUCCGCCUGGGGAGUACGACCGCAAGGUUGAAACUCAAAGGAAUUGACGGGGACCCGCACAAGCGGUGGAGCAUGUGGUUUAAUUCGAAGCAACGCGAAGAACCUUACCAAAUCUUGACAUCCUUUGACAACUCUAGAGAUAGAGCCUUCCCCUUCGGGGGACAAAGUGACAGGUGGUGCAUGGUUGUCGUCAGCUUGUGUCGUGAGAUGUUGGGUUAAGUCCCGCAACGAGCGCAACCCUUAAGCUUAGUUGCCAUCAUUAAGUUGGGCACUCUAAGUUGACUGCCGGUGACAAACCGGAGGAAGGUGGGGAUGACGUCAAAUCAUCAUGCCCCUUAUGAUUUGGGCUACACACGUGCUACAAUGGACAAUACAAAGGGCAGCGAAACCGCGAGGUCAAGCAAAUCCCAUAAAGUUGUUCUCAGUUCGGAUUGUAGUCUGCAACUCGACUACAUGAAGCUGGAAUCGCUAGUAAUCGUAGAUCAGCAUGCUACGGUGAAUACGUUCCCGGGUCU
This 1372-nucleotide ribosomal RNA is filed under the name uncultured bacterium. RNAcentral describes it as "bacterial SSU rRNA". It matches the Rfam family "Bacterial small subunit ribosomal RNA", at positions 28 to 1381 of the family's 1533-position model. The record is from RNAcentral.